This 431-nucleotide ribosomal RNA is filed under the name uncultured bacterium. Its description in RNAcentral is "partial 16S ribosomal RNA". It matches the Rfam family "Bacterial small subunit ribosomal RNA", at positions 29 to 506 of the family's 1533-position model. The record is from RNAcentral.
ACGAACGCUGGCGGCAUGCCUAACCCAUGCAAGUCGAACGAGACCUUCGGGUCUAGUGGCGCACGGGUGCGUAACGCGUGGGAACCUGCCCUUAGGUUCGGAAUAACUCCCCGAAAGGGGUGCUAAUACCGGAUAAUGUCUUCGGACCAAAGAUUUAUCGCCUUUGGAUGGGCCCGCGUUGGAUUAGCUAGUUGGUAGGGUAAAAGCCUACCAAGGCGACGAUCCAUAGCUGGUCUGAGAGGAUGAUCAGCCACACUGGGACUGAGACACGGCCCAGACUCCUACGGGAGGCAGCAGUGGGGAAUAUUGGACAAUGGGCGAAAGCCUGAUCCAGCAAUGCCGCGUGAGUGAUGAAGGCCUUAGGGUUGUAAAGCUCUUUUACCCGGGAUGAUAAUGACAGUACCGGGAGAAUAAGCUCCGGCUAACUCCGU